UUGGAGCUUUUUAUUGUUUUCGGUUUUUAGACACAGCAGCAAUUGAAGAGUUGCCCACCGCAGAGAGGUUACGGUGGGUUGGGAGUGCUGCUGCGCCGGGCGCCACCGCAUCGCAUUGUACAUGACACUCAAACGAUGCUUGUGGGGCUGCUGGUCGGGUUGCAAACUAUUCUGCCCCGUGCGCUUUGAUGCUCACUUCACUUUUUCUGUUUUUUUUUUUUUUUUGCUUUCUGUUUUUGCAAUUGCCUUGCUGUGCUCUUAUGUUGUUGUUGCUGCUGUUUCUGCUGCUGCUUUUGGUACGUUCGAUGGCGGCAACGUUUGGUCCUUGUGUGGCUGGCUGCCUCCUGUUUUGCUGUGUGUGGCCCCGGUUUGGUGUUGGUUCGCUGUGAGAUGCGAGAUUUUGGCUUUUGUCGCUCGCUGCUCUGCUCUUUGACAAACGCGACGCGACGCGAGUGAACAGUCAGCCAACUUUUUGUUGUGGCACCGCAUAAAAAAACUCACACGCAGCUAUUUUUCUAAAUUUUUCUAAUCAACCAAACCGAAUGUGCAAAUAGGAAAACGCGUUUAUUGGCCACAAGUAACAAUACUUGUGCUUCAGUGCAUAAAUUGGAAAAACGCCACGAGUUUCUCUUAACAAAAUCGAACCUGUCGCGGAAUUAGAAAAUUUGGUUCCUGUCGCCAGCAUCGACUACGUCGCCGUCGCCGUCGCCGUCGUCGUGUUGUCGUCACCAGGGCUGGGACGCCCGCUAUGUUUGGGAGACGCGUUGGACUCGUUGUUGUUGUUAUUAUUGCCAUUGUCGCCGCCACGUUGCUAGCGUUAUCCUCGUGGUCGUGUCCAGGGGCUGAGCCCACGUCCCAGCUUGGUGCAGUAAGAUUAGAAACUAUUUCCGGGAGUGUAGAGGCGGCUGCUUCUAGGCUACUGGCCCUGUGGCUGCCAUGUGGGCAUGGAGCUAAGAUUCGCCCAUUGAAAGUGUUGGACUUGGAAGUGUAAAAGGCGCGCGCGAGCAAGGAAAAGUCGCAUAGUCCGCCAGCCAUUCCCAUCGCCCCUCACCCCGACCCUCACCCUUACCCUCACCCACAUCCGUAUUCGACACCCUUUACCCGUGGACGUAGUACCGUAAUGUUUUAGUUCGAAAGGCUCUCGCUCGGUCGCUUGCUCUCUCUCUCUCUCUUUCUCUCUCUCCAUGUCUCUCGCGGAGUACAUUUAAGUGUGUAAGACUCGCUCUCGACCUCUCUUGCUCCUGCUGGUGUGUGUCCGCUCUCUGUUAAACGUUCUCAAAGUUGACAUGUUUAUGUUUUGGCAACAAACGGUGCUCUCUGUUGCAAAUUUUGACAGCUGCAAAUGUCAGCACAGUGGUACAAAUCAUAAACAUUUAACUGAAUUUAAAAUCUGUCUACUUGGCAAUCGGAUGGCUAACUAAGCCCAACAAAUGGUUCCUAGCAAAACUACACUGAUUUAAUAAUGCACGAUGAGCAAGGGACAUGACUUGGUAAUUGAUUGGUAACGUAUGAUGAAUGGUCGCUCCCGGGGAGCGGGCUCUUUAGUUUUUAGCCCUGCAGUUGCCAGGUAAGUGCCCUUUUUGAUUACCUUAAAGCGUUCUUAAAGCUGCCAAUGGGCCAUUUCCCGUUCCUUGCCGUGCCGCUUGACAAAUUGCCAAUGCUUCGCAAACUUGCGGCACAGUGGCUUUAAAACAUCGCCUGUCACAGGCAGACGCCCCAGUGACGAGACGACAAGUUGUCAUCCCGUUGGCACGGGAGUGGGGAGGGUGGAGGCGCCGCCAAUGACCGGCAUAUUUAUUUGUGUGUAUCGAUCUAUUUUUUGGUCCAACAUAGACGCUGUUGUUGGCUGAAAAAUGAGGCUGGUUCAAUGCCGGCACCGCAGGGAAUUAAUGGAGUCCUUGCAUUAUUUUUUUUUUGCUUUUGCAUGGCGGGUUGAAUGACUUGGCCGGAAAGCGCAGUGGGUGCGAGUUCUGGGCCAGGUAAGGGCCAGAGGCUGGUCCUAAGUCGUUUAUGGCAGGCCGUGUCAAGCGUUGAAAGUCACAAAAUUUCGUUUUGUAGUCUGUAGCUGGACCUAAGCGAAGGUAAGGUAUGCAAGCGGACAGGUAAAUAUGAAUUGAUGUACACAGGUAAAUGUUAAAACGAAACGUUUUGUCUAUUAAAUGUGCAAAAAAUAAUACAAAUUAGUUCGUAGUAUGAAUCCAGUGACUCUUAAACUGUACGCGCCUCGUAAACAGCUGUUCGGUUUGCCAUAAAAAGCGAGUGAGCAUAUAUCAUGCUAGCCCGCUCGCGCAAUGCGGCGAAUUCGUAUCGUCGUAUCGUCGGUCCUGAGCUCGUUUACUGCUCUCUUUCUCGUGCGCGCAACGAAAACAAAAACAAACCAUUAAAAGUGCAGCGAAAUGGCCGUUUGAGCGUGAAAUAUGAGCGAAAACAAUGCGGCGAAGAGCGGCGCGCUCCGUGAAUGUCGUUGAAUGUUUGUGUGUGUGUGAGAGCGAGUGUGCACUUGUCUGUCAAGAUUAUGGCGGUUUUUCAGUAUCAACGAGUUGGGGUCUGCCAAAAAGAAAAUCGUCGCUGUCGCUGUUGCUGCUGUUGUUGUUGUAGUUGUUGUUGUUGUUGAUUUCUCGAGCGCCGACGGCAACUCCUAUUUUUCUUCAUGUGCCAUUUUUAAUGUUGUUUUUUUGUUUCGCUUCGCGAGCGACUUUCGUAUUGCACUCGGCACUCGGCGCUCAGUUCAAGUUGAGUUUGAGUGAGCCUCGCCUCACACACGCAGCUUCAGUUACACACACAUGCACACAACAUACAAGCAGGCACAUUCACAUCAACUUGAUAUCGUGUCGUCGUCUUCAUCUUUGCUGUCGCUCGCUCGUCGUUUUCAUUUGAUAAAUUGCGUUUAUAAGAAAGAGAUGAAUUGUCAUGCACAGCAGCAGCGCCAACAACAAAACAGCACCAGCUGUCGUGUGUGUGCGUGAGUGUGAGCGAGCAACGGUUGGCGCUCAUUUGGGGCCCGCUGCCGCCGCUUUAAAUCAUAUUGGCUGCGCCUCAGUCUGUGCCUCUGUGUAUGUGUGUGUGUGUUUGUGUAUAUGUGUGUGUGCAUGAGCUUUCUCAUCGCCUUAUUUUUCGCUCGCACACAGUUUUCUUCGUCCGUCUCGCCUACAAAUGCCGCAGCAAUGCUCAGCACUCAGCGCUCAGCGCUCGUCUGGGAUUGGAAGUUUCCAAAUGCAAUUUUGCUGCCUUGAGCUUUUCGUCUUAUUAUCAAGCUGCCGUUUCUCUUUUUCUCGUCUAUCUUUUUUCAACGGUGGGUGGAGACCUCGGUGCGCCCUUCGCUCUUUGCUUGGGAUCUGCUUAUUUAAAUUUCAGGGUCUCCUCAAUUUUGCCAAAUUGUAAUAUUAAAUUAAAUUAAAUUCCCAUUGCAUUUUUCUUCCAUUUUGCUUGCCCUUAAAGAAUGCAAUAUACAAAAUUGCCAACAAGUGCUGUUAUUUCGUUUUCCUCCAGUGCAGCUAAGACCUCGUUUAACUCUCAAACUCGCAUAUGGAUAGAUGUCUUAAGAUGUUGUUUAUAUAACAUGCACCUUUUGCAGUUCCAAUCAAAUGUAGUCCUAUUUACAGUUUCAAUUGGAUUUCUGACUAUUCACGAGUCACAUUUAAUUCGCAUUGUAAUUUACACUAAGAACAACUGUCCUUCACUUUGCGAUAAUUUAACCAGAGGAUAAAUUAGAAUAAUAAUAAUUUCGUUUCUUAUACCUUUAAACGGAAUCUUAAUUUGUUUGUCAGAUAAAAUAUCAAAAUCUCUAUCCGAAGCUCUAUUAAAUUUUGGAAUUAUCCUGUAAGAUUUUCAUCUUCAGGUUUCUUAUCCUUGAACUUUGUUGUAAAUGACACGGAUGCCAUUUUAGUCGUUUCUAUCGUAUAAACCCAUUUCGGCAAUACACCCACCACCCACCUUGUCUAUUAACCCCGAGCAGUCAGCACACUCAAAUAGAUUAGCAAUUUAUUACUUUUAAUUGAAUUUUCAAAUGAAUACGAAUCGCAUACGCUUUGUUUUCGCUCACAUUUGGCACACAAAUUUGCAUUAGCAGGUCUUAAAUUUAAGCACCUUGGCACUGCAAUAACAACAGCACGGCAACAGCAACAAUUUUUUGCAUGAGGCGAUUGAAAAAAGUUGGGGGAAAAAAAUCUCGAACCGCAAAUCAAUCAACGUCUCAUAAAUUUGUCAAGUGGGCGACAGUAAGAUGAGAGCUCCGGGCGAGUGGAGGCGAGGGCAGGAACCAGCUACUCAGCUCCUCGCAACAACAACAGUUGGGGAAAAGACGCGCAAUAGAAACAAAAUAUGAUCAGCUGUUUUGAAAUGGAAACCAGAUUAAGUGCAGCAUCAUCAUCAGCAUCAUUGUCAUUAUUAUUGUCAUUGUCCUCGGUGUAACAGUGGCCACAUCCUUGCCAGGCAACCAGCCAGUCAGCCAGCCAGCCAGGAGGCAGCAAAAUAAAAAACAAAGCAAUUUUUCAUUUUUGCCUAAAAACGCGCAAAAACGGCGGCAACAUUAAAACGAGCGCCGGCGUCGACGCAGCAGCCGCCCGUGUUGCCGUUGGCUCCUCGAAAAUGAAAAUGGCGACCGGGCGCCGCACGCCGGUUAGCCAAAAAAAAAAUUAUAAAAAAAAAAAUAAAAUCGCAAAAAAAGGAACAACAACAACAACAACAAGAAAAGCAAAAGGACACACAGGCCAAAAAUGCGUUGUUGAAAAAUUGCCUCGGAAUAUGUGUUAACUGCUUUUUAAGCUGCCACGAGGACGACGACACGACGACGGAGUCGCCACCAGCAGCAGCAACAACAACAACAAACGGCAGCGGCAGGAUAUGCAUUUUGGGCAGUUGAAUUUAUCGGCGCGCGAUUUAUUAUUGCACACAAAGUUCACGGUGCGAACAGCUGUUGGUUGUUUUUAUUGUUUCUGUUGUUGUUGCUGCUGCUGCUGCUGCUGGCAGGAUCAUUGGCUAAGUGGCUGGAUCGCCAUGACGCCUGCCGACAACGACAACAACAACAACAACAACGACGUCGACAACGUCGCUGCAGCUUUUGAAGGCGUUGCCUAUUCAACUGUCUAUGUAUGCGUGCGUAUGUGUAUGUUAGUGCUUCUCUUUGUAUGACUUUGUGUGUGUGUGUGUGAGUUGGCAAAGAGCGCAAAAAAGUUGAGCGAAAGUUGAGCGCGAUGCGAAGUGACGGACAAGCGCAAGCAAGCAAGCAAGCAAGCAUAAGGCAAAGGCAAUGCCAAACGACAACGUCUGGAGUGUGGCAAAGGCUAGAAAACACCUGAAAGCACUCACUGACACAAACACAAACACAAACAGCAGAGAACACGCUCAACCCCAGCCCCAAAAACCACCCAAUGCCCAAUGCCUGCGCGCACAGGUGGGGCGGCCAAAGAAGACUGAAUGGCAAACUGAUGCAAACUGCCACUCACUCAAGCGAAAAUAACAAAUGGGAUUGGUUUUUGCUGAUUUUCAACGCACGCACAGCGACGGCAACAACGACGACGACGACGACGACGCUGGCAGCAGCAGAGAGAGAGGCGAUGCGACGGUAGCAACGGCCAAAACCUAUAAGCCGUCUCCUUUUGGCCAAAGCCAAAUAAAUUUCAAACGAAUGAACGAACGUUGAGCGAACGCCAACGACGACGACGACGACGACAACGACGACGACGACGACGACGACGUCGUCGUUGCGCAAAAAGAGUCGAAAAACAAAUGGCAAAAACAAAAAACAAAACAACAAAAAAAUAUAUAUAGCAAAACUGAGCGCAGUAGAGUAGCGCAGCCCAGGCCAGAUUGUGACAAGUGUGUGUAUGACAGAAAAGGCGUACUAACAAAUCAGUCAUCAUCCUUUGCGCUCUGCCUUUGGGCCCCAUUUUGUAGUGUGCUCACAAGAGCGCGCCUGCGCUUUCGCCGCGCAAUUCGCCGCAAUUACACCAACAAAGCGACCAGCAGGCGCAAACACAGACACACACACGCACGCACCACAAUUCGCCGGAGUCAGAUGUGUUUGUAUAGCCAUCGCAUUCGCACUGCUGGUAAAUUUAUGAGCCACCGCUUUGUACAACCUUUUUUAAUGGCACAAUUGUUGCGUCGCCGCCGUCUUUGCGACUGUGUGCGUGCGUAUGUGUGAGUGUACGAUCGACCAGACAGCGGCGUGCAAGCGUGCAUGAGCAUGAUUGACAGUGUGUAUUUGCCUUCGAACCGCGUACGACGUGCUUGUGCUUGUGCUGUCUGUGUUGUGUGCGAAGCGAGAAGCGAAGCCGAAAACGCCGAAGCCGUCGCCAACGUCGCAGCCGUUGAGAAAAAUUAUUAUUAUUACUAUUAUUAUUGCUAUUGCAUAGCAUUAUUAUUGUUAUUGCCACACUACACAACAACAACAACAAAAACAACAACAAUAUUAGCAAUAACCACAACUGCGGACAGCUAGCGGAACAAAUUUUGGACACCGCCAAAAAUUUAAUCGUCGCGAUCUCCUCGGCAAGCCAGCAAAUAAUAUAUCAAAUCACAUACAUAUAAGUGAAAAGCGCGCGCGUCUCGUUGCGCGACGUUACGAUCGGUCGUUACGUUACGUUACGCGUUACGCAGCAACGUUAACGGACUUUCGUCGUGUUGCCGCCGCCGUCUCCGUAUCCGUCGCCUACGCCUUCGCCUUCGCCGUCGCCUUCGCUGUCGCCGUCGCCGUCGCGUUACCGUCGCUAAAACAACAUUUGCAACAUUUUCCGAUUGCACGUUUCGUUAGAAGCAAACCAAAAAACAAAGUGCAGUUAAUGCAACCAUAAACUGUAAACAGUUAGUCGAUGUUGAUUGGCUGCUGAUUUGUACGAAACAAUUGACAACAAGCUUUUGGUUUUUCGUAGCAUAUUAUAGUAUGUAGAAGCAGCUGUGAUAAAUAGUGCGCAUAUUAUACGAAGCAAGAAGUAUACGACAUACAAGCAAACAAAUAUACAACAAAAUAAAACAGCAACACAAAAGGGACGCAGUCAAA
Non-coding RNA from Drosophila virilis, 7000 nucleotides. NCBI's taxonomy places the organism in Eukaryota, Metazoa, Arthropoda, Insecta, Diptera, Drosophilidae. The record is from RefSeq and is a predicted model, not a curated record.